Molecule: ribosomal RNA, 428 nt
Filed under: uncultured bacterium
Lineage: Bacteria
Description: partial 16S ribosomal RNA
Rfam family: Bacterial small subunit ribosomal RNA
Source: RNAcentral
GUAGGGAAUAUUGCGCAAUGGGGGAAACCCUGACGCAGCGACGCCGCGUGAGUGAUGAAGGCCUUCGGGUCGUAAAGCUCUGUUGCAGGGGAAUAAAAAAAUGAAGGUACCCUGUGAGGAAGGAUCGGCUAACUUCGUGCCAGCAGCCGCGGUAAGACGAGGGAUCCUAGCGUUGCUCGGAAUCAUUGGGCGUAAAGAGGGCGUAGGUGGCUUGGUAAGUCAGGUGUGAAAGCCCAGGGCUCAACCCUGGAAGUGCAUUUGAUACUGCUGAGCUUGAGUGUCGGAGAGGUUACCGGAAUACCUGGUGUAGUGGUGAAAUACGUAGAUAUCAGGUGGAACACCGGAGGCGAAGGCGGGUAACUGGACGAACACUGACGCUGAGGCCCGAAAGCGUGGGGAUCAAACAGGAUUAGAAACCCCGGUAGUCC